This is a long non-coding RNA of Siniperca chuatsi (mandarin fish), 1132 nucleotides long. RefSeq lists it as uncharacterized. Lineage: Eukaryota; Metazoa; Chordata; Actinopteri; Centrarchiformes; Sinipercidae. The record is from RefSeq and is a predicted model, not a curated record. The transcript has 2 exons.
AUAAAACUUGUCAAGGGAUUUGAUGGGGGGCGGUCCCUUUUGACGUUUGCUGCUGGGUGGGUUCCCUGUGUCGUAUGCUACACCAUCAGAGCCACAUCUGGGGCUGAUUCACAGUGAGCUGGCCCGGAUGUGAACCCACCAAGCUGAGAGGAGUUUGGGAGUGGGACGGUGGGGGACACAGGGACCUAAGCAAAGCUGAUGACUGUCUUCAGGUACUGUAUCCUGUGAAAGUAAACAUCAAUCGUGGAAACAUUGAACGUUUUCUCCAGUGUGAGGCAAAUUUCCAGCCUCUGGCCAUCAGGCUGUGUGUCUGUGCUGUUCAUCAGGCAUUCUCCUGCCAUCCCCCACUGAGAAAGAGAGAGAGAAGCUGAGUGUACUGUUGGGCCCUCCUGUACUGGCCCCCAGGGCCUAACAUGAAGCAGAUGUGGAACGGGAGAUCCCCUACAACAAGGUCUGAACAGUCAGCUGGAGGUGCUCAGUUCACUAGGGCCACAUCCGGUUGAUGCACUCAGACCUUCAUUUGGAAGCUACACACACCCAGAGAGCUGCUGAUGCCUAACACCGCUUCCUAACAUACAGUGAGCGAGAGAACUCUUGUGGAUGGAGCGCGAAAAAUUGUCCACAUAUACUACGAGCAAUGUCGCCCAUGUUGACUACUGACUGAAGGGGAAACGGAAACGUCAAGGACGUCAGCGUCGAUUUUGACCAACGAAAAUAGGUUGGAGGUGGAGCAAGUGCACGAAACUUUGCAAAAAUAGAACCAGGGCUGUCGGUUUUUCAAACAAGCAACAUGCCGCUUGGCAUGUUCGCUGACGCACAAAGCACGUUAAGACAUCAUCAUUACGAAACACUGAAACAAUCUGAUGUUCACUCGUUCGCAUCAGUGUAAUGGUAUGUUCAGACCAAAAGUGAAGUGAAUUUUUCACGCAACGUGAUUACAUACAAAGUCAAUGCAAAGAUGCAAAUAGAUGUGUUAAUUGUAAAAACUUUUUUUACAAUCAACACUUGAAAUGAUGAAAGCACUUGCAAAUGACAAGGUAAUACAAAAUGUAAACCAUACUUUGGUGCUUUACUUUAAACGCUUCUUUUUUUCUCUUACUCAAAUAAACCAAAACACUGACAAAGAGGAAGA